This 222-nucleotide ribosomal RNA is filed under the name uncultured bacterium. RNAcentral describes it as "partial 16S ribosomal RNA". It matches the Rfam family "Bacterial small subunit ribosomal RNA", at positions 111 to 334 of the family's 1533-position model. The record is from RNAcentral.
UAAUGUCUGGGAAACUGCCUGAUGGAGGGGGGUAACUACUGGAAACGGUAGCUAAUACCGCAUAAUGUCGCAAGACCAAAGUGGGGGACCGUUCGGGGCCUCAUGCCAUCAGAUGUGCCCAGAUGGGAUUAGCUAGUAGGUGGGGUAAUGGCUCACCUAGGCGACGAUCCCUAGCUGGUCUGAGAGGAUGACCAGCCACACUGGAACUGAGACACGGUCCAG